AUGCCCGGCGAGGCCGUGAGCCUGCCCCGGGGCAGCGCGGUGCCGUGCCUCGCUCCGGCCCGGCUCCGGCCGCCACCACCGCCAGGACAGCGGGCACGGACAGGGCGCGGGAUCACCCCCGAGCCGGGGGCCGAGCGGGGAAGGCGUCCCCAAUCCGCCGAGCGGAGCCGCGCAGGGGUCCCGCCGGAUCGCCCCGGGAGCCGGGGCCGGGCACCGGGCGCAGUUCUGCCCGGCGGGGCCGGCGGCACCGGCGGAGGCUCCCGGGGUCAGGUUACCGGGGCGGCCGCCGGUGAGAGCAGGGAUGUCGCUACAGACAUAUGUAAACGUGGGCACGCCGGGGUUCGCUCGCGGCGGCGGUGUGAAACCAUCCUUGAUGCGGGGCUGGCUCUUUGGUUGAGGGUUUUUUUUCCCCUGCUUCCCCUUUCGUUCUCUUUCCAGCUUCUCCUUUUCUUGGAUCCUCGCCUGUCUCCUCCCACAGAACGAGAGAGAGAGAAAGAGAAAAAAAAAAGGUCACGUAUGUUUGGAAAAAUAUGUAGGUCAGUGGAACAUUCCCUGCACUUGUGCACAGGAGCCGGGGCGGGAGAGCUCCUCCGCAGCCCUCUCGCUACCCAUCGCCCCAGCCCGGCCCUCCCGGCGCCCACCGCGGGUAGGGGAGCGCCUAGCGCCAGGGUCUCUUUACCCCUCCCUGACCCAUUUCGAGCAACAGCCACGCGUUUGGGCUCCCCCCGGCUCUCAAUCCCCCCUCCCCCCGUUCCCCCCCCCAGCUCCCCCCGCUCCCUGCCGGAGAAGGCGAGCGAGCAGCGGAGGAAGCCGGCGCGGGAGAUCCUCUGCCGCCGGGGCCGCGGCUGCGCCCAUGGGCGCGGGGCGCGGAGCGCGCCCCCGCAGCGCCGCCGGCUGAGGGCGCGGGGCGGUGGCCCGGCGGCGGGGGCAGGCGAGGGGAGGCGGCAGCGGGCGGCGAUGAAGGGCCGGCGGAGAGGAUGCCCCCGCCUCGCCCGCCGGGCUCCAACUUCGCGGAGAACUAUCGGCCCCGCAGCCCCCGCGCCCGCCCUGCCUCUCCCGGCCGCGCGUCCAACUUAA
This 1077-nucleotide long non-coding RNA is filed under the name Corvus moneduloides (New Caledonian crow). RNAcentral describes it as "lncRNA (ENSCMUG00000019037.1)". The record is from RNAcentral. Lineage: Eukaryota; Metazoa; Chordata; Aves; Passeriformes; Corvidae.